This 424-nucleotide ribosomal RNA is filed under the name uncultured Chitinophagaceae bacterium. Its description in RNAcentral is "bacterial SSU rRNA". It matches the Rfam family "Bacterial small subunit ribosomal RNA", at positions 355 to 776 of the family's 1533-position model. The record is from RNAcentral. Lineage: Bacteria; Pseudomonadati; Bacteroidota; Chitinophagia; Chitinophagales; Chitinophagaceae.
UAAGGAAUAUUGGUCAAUGGACGGAAGUCUGAACCAGCCAUGCCGCGUGGAGGAUGAAGGUCCUCUGGAUUGUAAACUUCUUUUAUAGGGGGCGAAAAAGGGCCAUUCUUGGUCAACUGACGGUACCCUAUGAAUAAGCACCGGCUAACUCCGUGCCAGCAGCCGCGGUAAUACGGAGGGUGCAAGCGUUAUCCGGAUUCACUGGGUUUAAAGGGAGCGCAGGCGGGCAUGUAAGUCCGUGGUGAAAUACCUCAGCUUAACUGAGGAACUGCCAUGGAUACUAUAUGUCUUGAAUGUUGUGGAGGUUUGCGGAAUAGGUCAUGUAGCGGUGAAAUGCAUAGAUAUGACCUAGAACACCAAUUGCGAAGGCAGCAGGCUACACAGAUAUUGACGCUGAGGCUCGAAAGCGUGGGGAUCAAACAGG